This 253-nucleotide ribosomal RNA is filed under the name uncultured bacterium. Its description in RNAcentral is "partial 16S ribosomal RNA". It matches the Rfam family "Bacterial small subunit ribosomal RNA", at positions 524 to 776 of the family's 1533-position model. The record is from RNAcentral.
UACGUAGGGCGCAAGCGUUGUCCGGAUUUAUUGGGCGUAAAGAGCGCGCAGGCGGUUCGUUAAGUCCGAGGUGAAAUCUCCCGGCUCAACUGGGAUAGGUCUUCGGAUACUGGCGGACUUGAGGAGAGCAGAGGUGAGUGGAAUUCUCGGUGUAGUGGUGAAAUGCGUAGAUAUCGAGAGGAACACCAGUGGCGAAGGCGGCUCACUGGGCUCCACCUGACGCUGAGGCGCGAAAGCGUGGGGAGCGAACCGG